AGGACAGAGGUGGGGAGAGAGACAGAGAGGGAAAGAGACUCCUUCUCGCAUUGAGAAGUUCAAGUUGUGUCGGAAAACAAUAUUGGAUCUCCGGGACUAUAACAGCCUGCUCCAGCCUCAUCCAGGAUGCAUCUUCUAGCGAAAUACAUUGUCAUCCUCCAAAUUAUUGUCCUUUUUGCAACAACCUGCCAGACUUUGUCAUGCGUUCCUUGUCAUGAAUUGACAUCCAUGAGGAUCCAACGGAUUGCAAAGGGGGGCUGGUGCGCAGUACAUGUGGCUGCUGCAAUGUGUGUGCUAAGGUGAAGGGCGAGAGAUGUGGUGGCCCAAUGGGUCUGAAAGGGAGAUGCGACGAGGGGCUGAAGUGCGUGUACCCCGAAUGGCUUCGUAUCGACUCGACCGGAGUUUGCGAGUAAAUCUGAGUUGAGGCAGGGAAUGGGAGUCAUUAUAUGGAUUCAAGAGGAGCUCAUCCAGAAUCAUCUACCCAACAUGUGCUUGGUGUGAAAUGAGUGCCAAUCAGAAUGCUAUGCUUUACUGUCUGCUGCCUUAUGUUAUGCCAUACUGCAUAUUCAAAGGACUUAACCCUUUGUUAACACAGGGCAUCUGAGCAGACAAAACAAAUGUGGAUCAUUUUCUUAACAAGUUGGGUAUUUCAUUUAACUUAAGAACACCCAUGUGUAUUCCCGGUCAAAAAUGGCCGGACUUUAUAAAUGAAUGGGUAAAAAAAUGGUCAUUGUAUAAAAUCGAGUUCAGGCGCAUACCUAUUGAUCAGAUAAACUGUAUUUGUGCUUCUGUACACACACACACACACACACACACACACACACACACACACACACACACACACACACACACACACGCACACUCCCCCUCUUUGCUUCUAUGCCCCCACUGGAACUUUUCCCCAAUAGUGUUUUCCCCUUUCUGACUUACAGUACAUGAGCUCAAGUUAAUGAGGCCUGAUUGCCAUGUAUAGCAAAUACAAGUUCAAAACUGGUCAUAUUCAGGACUUACGUUGAUACAAAGUUCUAUCACAACAUUAUGAUGAUAUAUGCAUUACUAUGGAUUUACAACAAGUUAUAAUGCAGUGGUCGUUUUUGACCGGAGACGCAAAUCUAGUAAACAUAAAAUGAAUAAAACAGGAGGGUUAGUUUAGUCUGUGUAUCACCAUGUACCAAUUACAUAUGUGAAAUGCAAUGCAAUAUAAAUUGCUUUUUAGUUAACCAGCAUUCAUAAAUGAAUACAUUUGUGGUCUGGUGCAAGAGCCAAAGAAUAAAUGGGAACCAUCUAGCCUUCUGAGGAACCAUUUCAGAACCUUUUUUUUCUCAGUGUAUCUUCCACCCUCUGCAAAUCAUUAUGCCUCUGACCAAGAACAGUUUUGCCUGUGAAACCACCGAUGAUCACUCUGCCUUUGAAUUCAAUUAAUUGGCGAGAGAAUGCAUGUAGUCACAAAGAGGUUUCAGUGAAGCGAAUCCCUUUGCACGUUGCCUCCAUUUCUUUUCACCACAAUAGAGCCCAGAGUGAUGCAGGGCAAAAGCUCAUGUCCCUCAACUCUGCCCCAGAUGGAUGAAACUUUGUUCAGAGACAGAUGUCUGUGUACUUUACAUUCUGUACUUCAAUCAUUCACUCGACUUCACUCAACAUGCCAUGUUAGAUAGAUCUAACAUGCCAAACAUCCCUUCAUCAUUGUAAUGUCCAGUCUGUUAACCGAGGUUUGUGCAUUCACUUUGGGACAAUUUCUUCAGAUAUGAGGGUAAUACACAGUGACAACUACACAUGGGAAUGCUUUUCUUUUCUUGUCUUCUCUUUGAUUAAAGCCCCCCUAAAGAGGUGGUUCGAUGGCACAUAAACUCUCAAUAGGGCGAUGACACUUCUGUCGCACACUGAGCAGGUCACAUCUCUUGCAAAACAUCCGUUAAAAGUUUUCUGUUUGGGUAGGAACACUGUCCCCCUCCAAGAUCAAAAUGGAAAAGAGCUGCUAUAUGCUACAGGAAUUUGGAGGUCUCUUACUACAGACUCUGCUGGUGGUGAAUUCCCUUUAUAUAAUAUGGGAAUUAUGUUCAUUCUUUGUUGCAAAAUACACAUAUUUAGUUUGUUCAUUAUAGCACCUCUCAACUGGGGGACCAUGAGAGCAAAUCUUCUUUUGUGUUGCUUCAAAGCACUGAUCUGAUUCAUCGGGCUAUAAUCCAGCGCAAACUUUAUGGGCGCUGCCAUCUUGAAUAUCGCCAUUACUGCGUGCCUGCGAGUGUGACGAGUGACAUUUGCCUGUGCUUUUCAAUGAAAGCAUCCUGUCAGAGAAUGUCUAACAAGAGAUCCCGCUCAUGAAAGAAAAUGUCAGGUGAAAGGGAACAUUGGAUCAAUGAUGUCAGGCUGUGCCAAAACUUACCAAUGAAGGUAAUUUAUUAACAACAUAAGGUAUUAAGACGUGUAUUAAUGACAGCUAACCUCUGCAACAGCCGCCUAUGGAACCAACGGGCUAAUUUCUUAGCAGCCAGCCACGCAGUAAUGGCGGUUUUGUGUUACUUCCGUGUUUCGCUGGAUUAGUGUAUAGAGCACAGUGAUUAAUACAUGGGUGCCAGCAACACAAGACAAGGGAGCUUUAUGUCUAUAGCACAGUUCAUACCCAAGGAAACUCAAUGGGUUGUACAUCCUCUGAGAACAGAGAAUAGCACACAAAAUCAAUGAACGCAUUACUGCCAUCUGCUGGACUGAGGUGUGAUGGCACGUGUACCCAGUAGCCUCAUUCUGGCUUCCAAUGGCCGCUGGAUGAAUAAGGCGAAAGGCAUUGCCUGCUAUAUCUUCCCAAGGAAAAGCAGGCAAAAUGGCUAUUCCAAUCAAAGAUUCUAAAGCGCUUCAGAGCACCUGAAUAGAAUGUACCCCAUUUGAACAGAUGGCACAGAUAUUUCAACUGGAAUAGUUUAAUGUGUGUGAGUCCCAAUCCUUCUCUUGCCAUCUUUCUGCCUUUCUUUUGUUCACCAACACUGAUGAGACUAAAUUAGAUUAAACUUUAUUGUCAUUGUGUGUAAAAUAGAGAGACAAUCAAAUGCAAGUACUGUAAGUGCAUUGAUCUAUUCUGUAAAAUGACAUCACAGAAAAGGACAAUGAAAAUGUUAACUUUCAGGUAAUGAGUAUUUGAUGUGUUUGUCCAUUCUUCUCUGCUGUGAGCAUUUGGAAGGAUCAUUUUGUUUUCAUUCCCUUUCCCCUCUCCAUUUUAUUGUUAUCAAUUGUUUUAUAUACAGUACAUAUACAGUAACGCCAGUAUUUCUCGCCUCCUUCUGCCCUCCCCAUCUUCUUUUGUCUUUUUCACUCUUCAGUUGUUUUUCCACUCUUUUCAUUAGGCGGUGCCGGUUUGGAUUGAUUUUUGUCUUCUGUAGUGCUCCUCCUGAAGAGCAGAAGAAGCCACUCCAUCACCCAACCCACUGCUCAACAGUGGACACGCAGGUGGCCUUGCUUCUCUAAGCAGUAGCAUAAUAGUAGGGAUCCCUAUUGUUUUCAUAUUGUGUGUGUGUGUGUGUGUGUGUGUGUGUGUGUGUGUGUGUGUGUGUGUGUGUGUGUGUGUGUGUGUGUGUGUGUUUGCACACGUGCGUUCACAUUCACUAGUGAGGGGGGAGCAUCUCAUGCUCAUGCAAUGUCCUCCACACCUAUUACCCAUCUCACCAAGGGCAUCGUUGGCGAUCAAUAAGAGAAGAGAGGCAGGAUGUUGAGCACCCGAGGGCAGCCUUGACAGCAGGAGGGAGUGUGCCGGAAUUACCGAGCUGUGAUGGGAGCUCUUGUUUGUGUCUCUCUGACACUUCAAGGCUGUAGUCAGAGAACUAAGCAGGUGCAUUAAUCUGUGGAUGAUACGGAUCGGAGAGGGACCCCCCCACUGGAAUACCAUCCUGAGAGGAAAAGAGAACCAACAUUUUAUGGGCCACAGAAUGGAA
This is a long non-coding RNA of Sardina pilchardus (European sardine), 3920 nucleotides long. RefSeq lists it as uncharacterized. Lineage: Eukaryota; Metazoa; Chordata; Actinopteri; Clupeiformes; Clupeidae. The record is from RefSeq and is a predicted model, not a curated record. The transcript has 4 exons.